This 492-nucleotide ribosomal RNA is filed under the name uncultured bacterium. RNAcentral describes it as "partial 16S ribosomal RNA". It matches the Rfam family "Bacterial small subunit ribosomal RNA", at positions 29 to 507 of the family's 1533-position model. The record is from RNAcentral.
AGUGAACGCUGGCGGUAGGCCUAACACAUGCAAGUCGAACGGCAGCACAGUAAGAGCUUGCUCUUACGGGUGGCGAGUGGCGGACGGGUGAGGAAUACAUCGGAAUCUACUUUUUCGUGGGGGAUAACGUAGGGAAACUUACGCUAAUACCGCAUACGACCUACGGGUGAAAGCAGGGGGUCUUCGGACCUUGCGCGAUUGAAUGAGCCGAUGUCGGAGUAGCUAGUUGGCGGGGUAAAGGCCCACCAAGGCGACGCUCCGUAGCUGGUCUGAGAGGAUGAUCAGCCACACUGGAACUGAGACACGGUCCAGACUCCUACGGGAGGCAGCAGUGGGGAAUAUUGGACAAUGGGCGCAAGCCUGAUCCAGCCAUACCGCGUGAGUGAAGAAGGCCUUCGGGUUGUAAAGCCCUUUUGUUGGGAAAGAAAAGCAGCAGGUUAAUACCCCGCUGUUCUGACGGUACCCAAAGAAUAAGCACCGGCUAACUUCGUG